CAGCCGCCGCGGUAAUACCGGCGGCCCGAGUGGCGGCCACUAUUAUUGGGCUUAAAGCGUCCGUAGCCGGGUUGGUUAGUCUCCCGGGAAAUCUGGCCGCUUAACGGGCAGAAUUCCGGGAGAUACUGCCAGCCUAGGGACCGGGAGAGGCCGAGGGUAUUCCCGGAGUAGGGGUGAAAUCCUAUAAUCCCGGGAGGACCACCUGUGGCGAAGGCGCUCGGCUGGAACGGGUCCGACGGUGAGGGACGAAGGCCAGGGGAGCAAACCGGAUUAGAUACCCGGGUAGUCCUGGCUGUAAACGAUGCGGACUUUGUGUCGGACAAGCUAUGAGCUUGUCCGGUGCCGGAGGGAAACCGUUAAGUCCGCCGCCUGGGGAGUACGGCCGCAAGGCUGAAACUUAAAGGAAUUGGCGGG
Molecule: ribosomal RNA, 414 nt
Filed under: uncultured microorganism
Description: bacterial SSU rRNA
Rfam family: Archaeal small subunit ribosomal RNA
Source: RNAcentral